UAGUAACUGCGAGUGAAGCGGGAAAAGCUCAAAUUUAAAAUCUGGCUGUCUAUAUGGCAGUCCGAGUUGUAAUCUAGAGAAGUGCUACCCGCGCUGGACCGUGUACAAGUCUCCUGGAACGGAGCAUCAUAGAGGGUGAGAAUCCCGUCUUUGACACGGACUGCCAGGGCUAUGUGGUGCGCUCUCAACGAGUCGAGUUGUUUGGGAAUGCAGCUCAAAAUGGGUGGUAAAUUCCAUCUAAAGCUAAAUAUUGGCGAGAGACCGAUAGCGAACAAGUACCGUGAGGGAAAGAUGAAAAGAACUUUGGAAAGAGAGUUAAACAGUACGUGAAAUUGCUGAAAGGGAAACGCUUGAAGUCAGUCGCGCUGGCCAGGGAUCAACCUCGCUCUUUUGUGAGGUGCACUUUCUGGUUGGCGGGUCAGCAUCAGUUUUGGUUGCUGGAUAAAGGCCUUGGGAAUGUGGCAUCCUCGGAUGUGUUAUAGCCCUUGGUUGGAUACAGUGGCUGGGAUUGAGGAACUCAGCACGCCGCAAGGCCGGGCUUUUAGCCACGUACGUGCUUGGGAUGCUGGCAUAAUGGCUUUAAUCGACCCGUCUUGAAACACGGACCAAGGAGUCUAACAUGCCUGCGAGUAUUUGGGUGGAAAACCCGAGUGCGCAAUGAAAGUGAAAGUUGAGAUCCCUGUCGUGGGGAGCAUCGACGCCCGGACCUGAGGCUUGCUGACGGUUCUGCGGUAGA
This 736-nucleotide ribosomal RNA is filed under the name Nidularia farcta. RNAcentral's name for it is "partial large subunit ribosomal RNA". It matches the Rfam family "Eukaryotic large subunit ribosomal RNA", at positions 81 to 799 of the family's 3401-position model. Lineage: Eukaryota; Fungi; Basidiomycota; Agaricomycetes; Agaricales; Nidulariaceae. The record is from RNAcentral.